RNAcentral lists this ribosomal RNA (952 nucleotides) under Cochliomyia minima. Its description in RNAcentral is "eukaryotic LSU rRNA". It matches the Rfam family "Eukaryotic large subunit ribosomal RNA", at positions 104 to 880 of the family's 3401-position model. Lineage: Eukaryota; Metazoa; Arthropoda; Insecta; Diptera; Calliphoridae. The record is from RNAcentral.
UAGUUCAGCACUAAGUCACUUUGUCUUAAUGGCAAAUGUGAGAUGCAGUGUAUGGAAUGUCAAAUUUCUAGUAUGAGAAAUUAACGAUUUAAGUCCUUCUUAAAUGAGGCCAUUUACCCAAAGAGGGUGCCAGGCCCGUAUAACGUUAAUGAUUACUAGAUGGCAUUUCCAAAGAGUCGUGUUGCUUGAUAGUGCAGCACUAAGUGGGUGGUAAACUCCAUCUAAAACUAAAUAUAACCAUGAGACCGAUAGUAAACAAGUACCGUGAGGGAAAGUUGAAAAGAACUCUGAAUAGAGAGUUAAAUAGUACGUGAAACUGCUUAGAGGUUAAGCCCGAUGAACCUGAAUAUCCAUUAUAGAAAAUUCAUCAUUAUGAUUUUAAUAUUUAUAAUAUUAUAAUAAUGGUGUGCAUUUUUUCUAUAAAAGGACAUUGUAAUCUAUUAACAUCAAAUAUUUAUCAAAAGAUCAAUUGCAAAUGUUUAUUCAAAUUAUUUUGCUUGCAAUUUAACAUAGAAUAAAUGCUUUUGAUUUGAUAAAGUGUUGAUAGAUUUAUUAUAUAUAGUGCUUGAAUAUUUAUAUUCUAUAAUAGCAUAUUAAUCAUUGAUUUUUAUGUUUAUUAUAUGCACUUAUAUGAUUAACAAUGCGAAAGAUUCAGGAUACCUUCGGGACCCGUCUUGAAACACGGACCAAGGAGUCUAACAUAUUUGCAAGUUAUUGGGAAUAAAAACCUAAUAGCGAAAUUAACAUAACUUAUUUAAUGGGAUUAAUUUUUAGCCUAUUUAUAGUCUAUUAAUUCAAUCCCGGGGCGUUCUAUAUAGUUAUGUAUAAUAAUAUUUAUAUUAUUUAUACCUCUAACUAGAGCGUACCUUGAGCAUAUAUGCUGUGACCCGAAAGAUGGUGAACUAUACUUGAUCAGGUUGAAGUCAGGGGAAACCCUGAUGGAAGACCGAAA